UCGUCUGAAAUUUUAUUAAUUAUUGUUGUGAAACCAAAGAUGAAAUACAAAGCCCAAAAGAGGGAAACAUAAGCCGGCAGACGAUGAAGAUGUCCCCAUAGUCAUUAAGCCCUAUGGAAGGGAGUAUAAAAGAGAUACAAAACAGAAAAUUUGGAACCUAAAUCGAAAGAAUACUAAUCCAUAAACUUAGAACAGAAGAAACCGGCCAUAAAGCCUUAAGCUAAACAAUAGAAUCAAGAACACAAAGCACUUCUUCUUGUUAGACACAAGUGAGAGAGAUUUACCGAGGAUGCCCAUGGCCAAACCGAAGAUAACAUCUACCACCUCCUAUCACGAUGAGAGCCAAUCUCUCGAAACAAAGGACUUCAAAACCCGAUAAGCACCUAGCUUUCGGAAGCGACGAACACAUUGAUACGCAAAGAACGUCAUACUAGAAGCCUUCCAAACGCGAUCAGACCUCAAUAGAUCUCGAACGCAGGGACAAGGAGCGAGGCCUGUAACUCAAGAAUCACCAAUCUCAAAGCGAACGAUGAAAAAACAUGAGAGCUAUCACCCACAACGAACAACAGCAAGAAGAAGAUAACUCACACAGACUUGGAAGCCUACCAUCACAUUCAAACAAAACGAAUCUUCUGCUUAGAAAAGGAUCGAACUCAUUGGAAUCCAAAGGCCGAGACGAGGAGAUCAGGCGAAAGGAAAGGCAUAGGCUGGAAGAAACUAACUAAUCCCACACCCACACUACCCUAACGGCAUAGAAACNN
Molecule: long non-coding RNA, 761 nt
Filed under: Capsella grandiflora
Lineage: Eukaryota; Viridiplantae; Streptophyta; Magnoliopsida; Brassicales; Brassicaceae
Description: long non-coding RNA (CGRA_LNC000140)
Source: RNAcentral